Molecule: long non-coding RNA, 943 nt
Filed under: Brassica napus (rape)
Lineage: Eukaryota; Viridiplantae; Streptophyta; Magnoliopsida; Brassicales; Brassicaceae
Description: long non-coding RNA (BNAP_LNC025248)
Source: RNAcentral
AAAGUGGUUGCUUGGUCUCCUCAAGAGUUGUGGCUCUUCUUGGUAUAAGCUAUCCACAAUCUUUUUCUCAGGAAUCGUUGCUGACAAAAGCUAUAGAAACAGACAGUUCAAGACAUUCUUCUCACCUACUUGAAAACUCGAAAACAAGUCAUUUAUAGAAAAGAAAAUCAACGAACUUGAAAACAACCUACUUCUCACCUACUUUGAUGACACCACUCGCAAUAAUUUCUCUGUACAAGUCAUUGCCUUCACAGGUUCGUUUCCCACACCAGUAAACACAGAGAAAUCAUCUGUUCACCACAAGAAAUACCCAUUAAUAAAAUAAAACAACUGCCCACAAUGUGUAAACAAACUCUGAAAGUACAUACCCUGAGCUAUGGAGCUAUGGAUGUAUGUCUUACCGGCAAGUCAUGUGGUUGCAACAGCUAUUCUCUGACUGACUACUACUGAAUGUAGUUAUACCGAUUGUACUGAGUACUACUAAGUAUUACUAGUACUACUACUAAGUAUUACUAGUACUACUACUAAGUUAAUUAUAUCGAGUUCGACUAAGUUCUACUUAUUAUACUAUAAAAUACUAGGUACUACUGAGUUAGUUAUACCAAACUCGACUGAGUUAGUAAUACCGAGUUAUACUGGAUCCAGAUCUGAAGAAAACAAAUAAAAAACACGAAACAUACUUUGCAAAGGGGGAACAAGAACAAUAAAAUCAUUAAAUCAUUAAAAAAAACACAUCUAUAGAGAACAAGAAGAACCCUAAUCAUACAAAACCCAGAAUCUUAAUUUACAGCCCUAAAUCGAAAACAUGAGGACAAUAAAAACUCGGGAAGAGAAAGAAUAGCCAUUGAUGUGAAGCGAGAGAAGAAGAAGAUUUGAAGUGCAUAUGUUGAACCAUCGCCGUUUUGAACAGAUCUAAAGCGCGUGAAGAGGAAUAAUCGCCAUU